GGUAAUAGAACAAUCGAUGUAAUCACAAAGUUGGAUAUAAUGGACAGAGGUACUGAUGCCCGAAAUUUGUUACUAGGAAAAGUUAUUCCUCUCCGACUUGGUUAUGUAGGUGUUGUAAACCGUAGUCAGGAGGAUAUCCAAAUGAACCGGAGUAUAAAGGAUGCUCUUGUUGCUGAAGAGAAUUUUUUCCACAAUCGUCCUAUAAGGAAGUUCUUAUGCAUAGUUAACAGUCUAGUUUUUUUUUGCUUAUAUUUACUUAUUUUUUUAUCUAUUUAUGUUAUUCAUAGGCAUACAAUGGUUUAGCAAUAGUUGUGGUGUUCCUCAACUAGCAAAGAAGUUGAACCAGGUAGAGUCUUCAUGACGCUGAAAACACAAAAUAGUCUUCUGUAAGAAAUUUUACAGUUUUAUUUAGGGCUUUCAGUCUCCCUUACUCAUACAGAGUUAAAGUCCGCUUAUGUCUUCACACUUUUUCCUUCUUUUCUUUACACUAUAUAACUUUUUCAUAGUAAAGGCAUAUCAUGUUAACAUUGGAGAGCGAAAAUUUAUAUAGUUUUUGGACAGAACCAAAUUCUUCCAAAUCCUGUGAAAGAUUAAACCAUUAUGAAUUCAUAACAGGAUCAAGGUUUCUGGACUAGUGCAUGCCAAUAUGGCAUGUGCAUUUGCCUGUUCAUAUUUUUGCAGAUUCUGACACAACAUAUAAAGGCUGUGCUACCUGGGCUGAGAGCACAUAUAAGCACUUCACUAGUUGCUGUUGUGAAGGAGCAUGCAAGCUAUGGAGAAAUCACCGAGUCCAAGGCAUGUGUUAA
Glycine soja is the source of this 806-nucleotide long non-coding RNA. RefSeq lists it as uncharacterized. The record is from RefSeq and is a predicted model, not a curated record. The transcript is spliced from 3 exons. Lineage: Eukaryota; Viridiplantae; Streptophyta; Magnoliopsida; Fabales; Fabaceae.